GUAGAUAUAAUUUAACAAAAAUAUUAGAUUGUGAUUCUAAACAUGAGGGUUCAAACCCCCCUAUCCGCC
This 69-nucleotide transfer RNA is filed under the name Lophiomus setigerus (blackmouth angler). RNAcentral describes it as "tRNA-His". It matches the Rfam family "tRNA". Rfam says of the family: Transfer RNA (tRNA) molecules are approximately 80 nucleotides in length. Their secondary structure includes four short double-helical elements and three loops (D, anti-codon, and T loops). The record is from RNAcentral. Lineage: Eukaryota; Metazoa; Chordata; Actinopteri; Lophiiformes; Lophiidae.